Molecule: ribosomal RNA, 370 nt
Filed under: Aptera munda
Lineage: Eukaryota; Metazoa; Arthropoda; Insecta; Blattodea; Blaberidae
Description: partial 16S ribosomal RNA
Source: RNAcentral
CUUUUCUUGCAUUAAAUAUGAAGUAUGAUCUGCUCAAUGAUUUUUAAAUAGCCGCGGUAUUUUGACCGUGCAAAGGUAGCAUAAUCAUUAGUCUCUUAAUUGGAGGCUGGAAUGAAUGAUUGGACGAGGUAAUAACUAUCUUAUUAUUAUUUAGAUAGAAUUUAAUUAUUAAGUUAAAAAGCUUAAAUGUUUUUAUGGGACGAGAAGACCCUAUAGAGUUUUAUAAUAACUUAAAAAAUAAUUUGUAAAUAUUUUUAUUUAAGUUAUUAUUAAGUUGGGGUGAUUAAAAGGUAUUAAUAACUCUUUUUGUUAAUAAAUAUUAAUAUAUAGAUGGUUGAUCCAAUAAUAUUGAUUAUAAGAUAAAAUUACC